UGUAUAGAAGGUGUGUAGAAACGAUAUAAAACAAGUCAGUAAAUUGAAAUGACUAGAAAGUGAAAUUUAAAUUCCAUAAUCAUUUUGAUGAAAAUAGUUUAAUUUCAAGUGUCGUUUCUGUCCUUUCCCCAAAUAAUAAUUCUCCUUAAUAUUUAUUUUCUUGGACAGAAAACAUUAAACUUUCAAUUAAUAUAGAAAUUUCAAC
Molecule: long non-coding RNA, 205 nt
Filed under: Capsicum annuum
Lineage: Eukaryota; Viridiplantae; Streptophyta; Magnoliopsida; Solanales; Solanaceae
Description: long non-coding RNA (CANN_LNC002037)
Source: RNAcentral